GCCGGACAUCUGUAGUCCCAGCUACUCGGGAGGCUGGGGUGGGAGGAUGGCUUGAGCCCAGGAAUUCUGGGCUGUAGCGCUUUCUGACAAUAGGCGUUAGGCAUCAAUGUAGUGACCUCCCAGGAGCAGGGGACCACCAGGUUACCUAAGGAGGGGCGAACCCACCAGGCUGGAAACGAAGCAUGUCAAAACUCCUGCGCUGAUCAGUAGUGGAUCCUGCCCGUGAAGAGCCACUGUGCUCCAGCCUGGGCAACAUAGCAAGAUCCCGUCUCU
This 273-nucleotide signal recognition particle RNA is filed under the name Microcebus murinus (gray mouse lemur). RNAcentral describes it as "Metazoan signal recognition particle RNA (ENSMICG00000030787.2)". It matches the Rfam family "Metazoan signal recognition particle RNA". From Rfam's summary of the family: The signal recognition particle (SRP) is a universally conserved ribonucleoprotein. It is involved in the co-translational targeting of proteins to membranes. The record is from RNAcentral. Lineage: Eukaryota; Metazoa; Chordata; Mammalia; Primates; Cheirogaleidae.